Molecule: small nuclear RNA, 127 nt
Organism: Pongo abelii (Sumatran orangutan)
Lineage: Eukaryota; Metazoa; Chordata; Mammalia; Primates; Hominidae
Source: Ensembl
GUAUUGUAUGAAAGGAGAGAAGGUUGGCAUUCCCUUUGACAAGGAUGGAAGAGGCAGGCCCUUGGGCCUGACAACAAGCAUUUAGUUAAGGCAUUGCCACCUACUUCGUGGCAUCUAACCAUUAUUU